Molecule: ribosomal RNA, 551 nt
Filed under: uncultured Sphingomonas sp.
Lineage: Bacteria; Pseudomonadati; Pseudomonadota; Alphaproteobacteria; Sphingomonadales; Sphingomonadaceae
Description: bacterial SSU rRNA
Rfam family: Bacterial small subunit ribosomal RNA
Source: RNAcentral
ACGAAGGCUUCGGCCUUAGUGGCGCACGGGUGCGUAACGCGUGGGAAUCUGCCCUCAGGUUCGGAAUAACAGCGAGAAAUUGCUGCUAAUACCGGAUGAUAUCGCGAGAUCAAAGAUUUAUCGCCUGAGGAUGAGCCCGCGUAGGAUUAGCUAGUUGGUGUGGUAAAGGCGCACCAAGGCGACGAUCCUUAGCUGGUCUGAGAGGAUGAUCAGCCACACUGGGACUGAGACACGGCCCAGACUCCUACGGGAGGCAGCAGUGGGGAAUAUUGGACAAUGGGCGAAAGCCUGAUCCAGCAAUGCCGCGUGAGUGAUGAAGGCCUUAGGGUUGUAAAGCUCUUUUACCCGGGAUGAUAAUGACAGUACCGGGAGAAUAAGCUCCGGCUAACUCCGUGCCAGCAGCCGCGGUAAUACGGAGGGAGCUAGCGUUAUUCGGAAUUACUGGGCGUAAAGCGCACGUAGGCGGCUUUGUAAGUUAGAGGUGAAAGCCUGGAGCUCAACUCCAGAAUUGCCUUUAAGACUGCAUCGCUUGAAUCCAGGAGAGGUGAGUG